Molecule: ribosomal RNA, 492 nt
Filed under: uncultured bacterium
Lineage: Bacteria
Description: partial 16S ribosomal RNA
Rfam family: Bacterial small subunit ribosomal RNA
Source: RNAcentral
AGUGAACGCUGGCGGUAGGCCUAACACAUGCAAGUCGAACGGCGGCACAGUAAGAGCUUGCUCUUACGGGUGGCGAGUGGCGGACGGGUGAGGAAUACAUCGGAAUCUACUUUUUCGUGGGGGAUAACGUAGGGAAACUUACGCUAAUACCGCAUACGACCUACGGGUGAAAGCAGGGGAUCUUCGGACCUUGCGCGAUUGAAUGAGCCGAUGUCGGAUUAGCUAGUUGGCGGGGUAAAGGCCCACCAAGGCGACGAUCCGUAGCUGGCCUGAGAGGAUGAUCAGCCACACUGGAACUGAGACACGGUCCAGACUCCUACGGGAGGCAGCAGUGGGGAAUAUUGGACAAUGGGCGCAAGCCUGAUCCAGCCAUACCGCGUGGGUGAAGAAGGCCUUCGGGUUGUAAAGCCCUUUUGUUGGGAAAGAAAAGCAGCAGGUUAAUACCCCGCUGUUCUGACGGUACCCAAAGAAUAAGCACCGGCUAACUUCGUG